RNAcentral lists this ribosomal RNA (253 nucleotides) under uncultured bacterium. RNAcentral describes it as "partial 16S ribosomal RNA". It matches the Rfam family "Bacterial small subunit ribosomal RNA", at positions 524 to 776 of the family's 1533-position model. The record is from RNAcentral.
UACGAAGGGGGCUAGCGUUGUUCGGAAUUACGGGGCGUAAAGCGCAUGUGGGCGGAUCUAUAAGUCAGAGGUGAAAUCCCCGGGCUCAACCCUGGAAUUGCCUUUGAUACUGUAGAUCUGGAGUCUGGGAGAGGUGAGUGGAAUUCCGAGUGUAGAGGUGAAAUUCGUAGAUAUUCGGAGGAACACCAGUGGCGAAGGCGGCUCACUGGCCCGAGACUGACGCUGAGAUGCGAAAGCGUGGGGAGCAAACAGG